GACGAACGCUGGCGGCGUGCUUAACACAUGCCAGUCGAACGGAAAGGCCCUGCUUUUGUGGGGUGCUCGAGUGGCGAACGGGUGAGUAACACGUGAGUAACCUGCCCUUGACUUUGGGAUAACUUCAGGAAACUGGGGCUAAUACCGGAUAGGAGCUCCUGCUGCAUGGUGGGGGUUGGAAAGUUUCGGCGGUUGGGGAUGGACUCGCGGCUUAUCAGCUUGUUGGUGGGGUAGUGGCUUACCAAGGCUUUGACGGGUAGCCGGCCUGAGAGGGUGACCGGCCACAUUGGGACUGAGAUACGGCCCAGACUCCUACGGGAGGCAGCAGUGGGGAAUAUUGAACAAUGGGCGGAAGCCUGAUGCAGCAACGCCGCGUGCGGGAUGACGGCCUUCGGGUUGUAAACCGCUUUCGCCUGUGACGAAGCGUGAGUGACGGUAAUGGGUAAAGAAGCACCGGCUAACUACGUG
This 468-nucleotide ribosomal RNA is filed under the name uncultured bacterium. RNAcentral's name for it is "partial 16S ribosomal RNA". It matches the Rfam family "Bacterial small subunit ribosomal RNA", at positions 28 to 507 of the family's 1533-position model. The record is from RNAcentral.